AGAAUCAACGCUGGCGGCGUGCCUAACACAUGCAAGUCGCACGAGAAAGGGUAGCAAUACCUGAGUAAAGUGGCGCACGGGUGAGUAACACGUGAAUAAUCUACCUCCGAGUGGGGAAUAACUGAGAGAAAUCUUAGCUAAUACCGCAUAACACUUACGAGUCAAAGCAGUAAUGCGCUUGGAGAGGAGUUCGCGGCAGAUUAGCUAGUUGGCGGGGUAAUGGCCCACCAAGGCGAUGAUCUGUAUCCGGCCUGAGAGGGCGCGACGGACGACGACUGGAACUGAAACACGGUCCAGACUCCUACGGGAGGCAGCAGUGGGGAAUUUUGCGCAAUGGGGGAAACCCUGACGCAGCAACGCCGCGUGGAGGAUGAAUCCCUUGGGAUGUAAACUCCUUUCGAUAGGGAAGAUAAUGACGGUACCUAUAGAAGAAGCCCGGCUAACUUCGUGCCAGCAGCCGC
Molecule: ribosomal RNA, 461 nt
Filed under: uncultured bacterium
Lineage: Bacteria
Description: SSU rRNA
Rfam family: Bacterial small subunit ribosomal RNA
Source: RNAcentral